This is a non-coding RNA of Podarcis lilfordi (Lilford's wall lizard), 100 nucleotides long. The record is from the annotation of a GenBank genome assembly. NCBI's taxonomy places the organism in Eukaryota, Metazoa, Chordata, Lepidosauria, Squamata, Lacertidae.
UGGAGGGAAUUGUGGGAAUCACCCAUCACUCAUUUUGCUGCCUGCCGGCCGUGUGGCAGGGAGCAAAAUGAGUGAUGGGCGAUUCCCGCAAUUCCCUCCA